AUUCCAGCUCCAAUAGCGUAUAUUAAAGUUGUUGCAGUUAAAAAGCUCGUAGUUGGACUUCUGGGUUGUGAUUGUGGUCCGCCUAACGGCGUGCACUGUGGUUGCGACUCUUCUUCCCGUAGUUUGGGGGUGCACUUAGUUGUGUGCUUUUCGAAUAUGGGACCUUUACUUUGAAAAAAUUUGAGUGUUCUAAGCAGGCCUUCGCUUGAAUACAUUAGCAUGGAAUAAUAGAAUAGGACUUUGGUUCUAUUUUGUUGGUUUCUAGGACCGAAGUAAUGAUUAAUAGGGACAGUUGGGGGCAUUAGUAUUUAAUUGUCAGAGGUGAAAUUCUUGGAUUUAUGAAAGACUAACUACUGCGAAAGCAUUUGCCAAGGAUGUUUUCAUCA
RNAcentral lists this ribosomal RNA (386 nucleotides) under Acanthoecida sp. RNAcentral describes it as "partial small subunit ribosomal RNA". It matches the Rfam family "Eukaryotic small subunit ribosomal RNA", at positions 582 to 975 of the family's 1831-position model. Lineage: Eukaryota; Choanoflagellata; Acanthoecida. The record is from RNAcentral.